This 205-nucleotide long non-coding RNA is filed under the name Elaeis guineensis (African oil palm). Its description in RNAcentral is "long non-coding RNA (EGUI_LNC056747)". The record is from RNAcentral. Lineage: Eukaryota; Viridiplantae; Streptophyta; Magnoliopsida; Arecales; Arecaceae.
CGGCGGUUGAAGUUGGCGACGGAGCUCGGCUCCCGUAGGAGUCCGGGCGGAGUCCCUCUUGAGGUUGGAGCUGUGGAUAGAGUCCAUUUCCCGUGGGAGUCCGGGCGGAUCUUACCGGCAGUUGAAGUUGGCGAUGGAGCUCGGCUCCCGUAGGAGUUCGGGCGGAGUCCCUCUUGAGGUUGGAGCUGUGGACAGAGCCCAUCUC